RNAcentral lists this long non-coding RNA (254 nucleotides) under Gossypium raimondii (Peruvian cotton). RNAcentral's name for it is "long non-coding RNA (GRAI_LNC003899)". The record is from RNAcentral. Lineage: Eukaryota; Viridiplantae; Streptophyta; Magnoliopsida; Malvales; Malvaceae.
AGAAACAAACCCAAAAAUCCAAACACAAAAUAAAUCAAAUCCAUUACAAAUCCAAAAACAAACUAAACCAAGUCCAAACCUAACCCUAGUAGCCCAAAGCCCACUAACUUAAAAAAUUUUCAGCAAAAAAACCCUAGCCUCAAGCUAGCCGCCGCUCCUACCCCCAGGCCUAUGCCACGCCUCCAGCACCGCACGCCUCCAUGCUCCUGCCACCGCCGUCAGUCUGACACCUGCAGAAGAAAGCAUCACACGCC